Molecule: non-coding RNA, 82 nt
Organism: Pezoporus occidentalis (night parrot)
Lineage: Eukaryota; Metazoa; Chordata; Aves; Psittaciformes; Psittacidae
Source: the annotation of a RefSeq genome assembly
GUAGUUGUGGCCAAGUGGUGAAGGCAAUGGACUAGAAAUCCACUGCGGUUUCCCUGUGCAGGUUCAAAUCCUGCCAGCUAUG